This 254-nucleotide ribosomal RNA is filed under the name uncultured bacterium. RNAcentral describes it as "partial 16S ribosomal RNA". It matches the Rfam family "Bacterial small subunit ribosomal RNA", at positions 524 to 776 of the family's 1533-position model. The record is from RNAcentral.
AACGUAGGAGACGAACGUUAUCCGGAGUUACUGGGCGUAAAGAGCGCGCAGGCGGUCGAUCAAGUCGCGUGUGAAAGCCCCCGGCUCAACUGGGGAGGGUCACGCGAUACUGAUCGACUCGAAGGCAGGAGAGGGUAGUGGAAUUCCCGGUGUAGUGGUGAAAUGCGUAGAUAUCGGGAGGAACACCAGUGGCGAAGGCGACUACCUGGCCUGUUUCUUGACGCUGAGGCGCGAAAGCUAGGGGAGCAAACGGG